CACGAUGGACAGCUCCUUAGCUUGCUUCUAUGACGUUAGCGGCGGACGGGUGAGUAACACGUGGGCAACCUGCCUGUAAGACUGGGAUAACUUCGGGAAACCGAAGCUAAUACCGGAUAGGAUCUUCUCCUUCAUGGGAGAUGAUUGAAAGAUGGUUUCGGCUAUCACUUACAGAUGGGCCCGCGGUGCAUUAGCUAGUUGGUGAGGUAACGGCUCACCAAGGCCACGAUGCAUAGCCGACCUGAGAGGGUGAUCGGCCACACUGGGACUGAGACACGGCCCAGACUCCUACGGGAGGCAGCAGUAGGGAAUCUUCCGCAAUGGACGAAAGUCUGACGGAGCAACGCCGCGUGAGUGAUGAAGGCUUUCGGGUCGUAAAACUCUGUUGUUAGGGAAGAACAAGUACAAGAGUAACUGCUUGUACCUUGACGGUACCUAACCAGAAAGCCACGGCUAACUACGUGCCAGCAGCCGCGGUAAUACGUAGGUGGCAAGCGUUAUCCGGAAUUAUUGGGCGUAAAGCGCGCGCAGGCGGUUUCUUAAGUCUGAUGUGAAAGCCCACGGCUCAACCGUGGAGGGUCAUUGGAAACUGGGGAACUUGAGUGCAGAAGAGAAAAGCGGAAUUCCACGUGUAGCGGUGAAAUGCGUAGAGAUGUGGAGGAACACCAGUGGCGAAGGCGGCUUUUUGGUCUGUAACUGACGCUGAGGCGCGAAAGCGUGGGGAGCAAACAGGAUUAGAUACCCUGGUAGUCCACGCCGUACACGAUGAGUGCUAAGUGUUAGAGGGUUUCCGCCCUUUAGUGCUGCAUCUAACGCAUUAAGCACUCCGCCUGGGGAGUACGGUCACGAGACAGAAACUCAAACGUAAUUGACGGGGGCCGCACCGCGGAGGAGCAUGUGGUUUAAUUAAA
Molecule: ribosomal RNA, 911 nt
Filed under: Priestia megaterium
Lineage: Bacteria; Bacillati; Bacillota; Bacilli; Caryophanales; Bacillaceae
Description: bacterial SSU rRNA
Rfam family: Bacterial small subunit ribosomal RNA
Source: RNAcentral